This is a long non-coding RNA of Osmia lignaria (orchard mason bee), 950 nucleotides long. RefSeq lists it as uncharacterized. Lineage: Eukaryota; Metazoa; Arthropoda; Insecta; Hymenoptera; Megachilidae. The record is from RefSeq and is a predicted model, not a curated record.
GCGGCGCUCCAAUCGGUGAUUCGAUGGUAUAACGACGAUUACAUUUUGACUCGUCGGGUUACGGCGAAAUCGUGAGUUAUCGACUGAGAAAAGGAUUGUGUACGAAGCGCGUAGACACCGCCCCCCUUUGAAUGACUUCAUUCAACUGGACGAUCGUAAUACAUUAACGUGGAAAGCGCUUAUGAUCGGAAUGCAGAACGGUUGUAUCGCAGCGUUUUAUCUAUUGUGAUAGGAAGGGAACAGAGUUUCGCAAUAGGACGCUUGUAUUCGCCAGACGACGUUUUUACGCUGAUUACUUGGACGAGGUCGUCAUCUCCUGGGUGGCAUUUGAUGAUACGGCCAAGUUCCCAUCGACAAGGCGGAACAUUCGAGUUGCGAAGCAGGAUAAGUUGACCGACUCUGGCGAGAUUUUGCGUCAUCUUCCAUUUUGGUCGUUGAUGCAACGUAUGCAAGUUGACGAUUACUGGUUUAUCCUCGAUCCUAAUCCAAAGGACCAAAUGUUUGAAGCUGGAUAUUAGUGAAUUGAAAAUUACUAACUGGAUUCCGUAGUUUCAAAGACGUGGGCUUCGAGGAGAAGAAUAACGACACAGCUGCGGUCACUGAUUGUGUAUUAAAUAUAACUGGUACCCAACGUGUCUCUAAUUAAAUAAUUACGCGUAUCACUAUGUAUCGCGGUGCAAUGCAUUUGAAUUAAUUUAAUGUACCCGAAACUCGAGAUAAAGAAAUGUUGGUCGCUGUCUGUGAUACGGUAACGGUUCGAAUCGGUGAUUAGAUGGUGUAACGACGAUUAUAUUUUGACAUCGUGAGUUAUCGACCGAGAUAGGAUCAUGUACGAAGCGCGUACAGUAUUGUAUAAUUCUAUAUUGGAUAAUGGUGUAUACAAUAAUUGUACAUUCCAUAAUCGUAUAUUUAAUAAUUGUGUAUUCAAUAAUUGUAGAUUGUAUAAUUGU